UGUUUGGUUGUCAACUGGACCACACGCACACACACACAUCCAAUCCCGUUGACCCUCUCUCUCUCCUCCCUUUCGGAUUUUUUUCCAUUCGUCUGCACACUCGUUCGGUCAUCUCCUUAACUCUCGUCAUCUCUCACAGAUCGAGGUGUUUAAGACCACCAUCGUACUCCUCGUGACUUCACAAGUUGAGUGGUACCUUUGGGACGACGAACGGUUCACGGGAACUCGAGUUACCCGAACUCCGGUGAGGGGUGAUUUUCCUCCGACGUGAUCGCGAGGGUUUUAAGUGGUUUUGAGACUUAAGAAGUUGCAGGGUUUGGUCGGUUUCCUUGAAUUUUUCUGGCGAGAUUCCGUUGGUUUUAGGACUCCAAAGUGUUUCCGGUGACACAGACGGCGGCCAGCGGCGGAGUCUGGCGAUCCACCGGAGAAGAAAGGAGAAUAUUCCGUCAACUUUGACGGAAUAUUCCUAACGGCGAUUAACGGCAUCAGGUAUGUUUAACGAAAUAUUCCUAACGGCAGUUAAGUUUUCAUCAAGGUUGGCCGCGCGUGGGGGCGUGUCUGGCCGUGCCUUUGCCGGCGUGUGGAUGGUCCAAAAAGUAUUUUAAAAAUAUGAGGAUGUUUGUGGUAUUGAGUAGAUCACAUUGGUAUAUUCAAACACCCCAUUUGAGCAAUGUAUGAGAAGUUAUUAGUUAGUUUCGUUUAUGUGCUUUAAAUACGUUUAUAUAGUUGUUUCGCAUAUAGGUGAGACCUAUCCUCAGGAUGAGCACAGUCAAUCAAGACUUGGGGGCUACGACCCUUCCACAUACUAGUGAGUGGGCUUUUGGUUUUCCGUAUAUACCUAUAUACUUGAGAUUUGUCCCAGAAAAUUGAUUUAAAAUGAAAUUAUGUUUAGAAAUGCCAUGCCUCAUGACUUAUACUUAGAUUAUGAGUUAGUAUAGUAUGCAUAUUGUGAUUUGACGCGGUGGACGCUUAGGUAUGUACCAGGUGAGUUGUAGACUGUUUAUGUGAAUUGAUGAUUAUGUGAGAUGUGUUGAGAGCUCAUAAAUCUGCCCCUCGGUGUUAGUGUUCCUGUCCAUGGUUAGGGCAUAGUCCUUCACGUGAUGUUCACCUCCUGCACCAUAUGCUCACCUUGGAUCCAAGUUAGGUGCAUAGUCCUGUCAUACAAACCACUAUAGGUGGUUCCGACUCAUAGGUGAUCGGUGAUUAUUCGCACAAUCUUCACAUGAUCAUAACACUUAAGUGUAUUUAUUUACACCCAGUCCUGUCGUACAGACCACUUUACGUGGUUCCGACUUGUGUGCAGGUAUAAUUGUUGAGAUGUGGAUUUAAGCCAUACAGGUCACGUUAGGUGACUCUGGCUAGAUGGAUGAGCUCCAGAUUCAGCCAUACAGGUCACGUUAGGUGACUCCGGCUGACAUAUCAUUUGCAUUGAUUUAUAUCACAUGGCUUACAUAUUUUUAUGCUGAGAUAUUCGACGUGGCAUACUUGUGAAUUUUGCUAUUCUAAGCAUAGUUGUGGUAUAGAUAUGUAUUCUAUUUUCUGGGAAAUUAUACAGGUUUUAUAGCGAGGGGUUACAAUCUUUGAUAAUUGAAAUGGUUUUGAAAAGCUUUGUUUUUACCCACUCACACUUUCUAUUUUGCGCCCCUCCAGGUUCUAGUUAGGAGUGCUUUUUGGUGGCUCGUGAGAAUCCAUGGCAUCUCUGACAGAUUACGACCAUUGUAUGGCCACCUUUAGGUGUUGUAUAAUUAGUAUUUGUCUUGCUGGACUGCACUUAGGCUACUUGUGCUCUGGUUGUGAAUUCAUACUUAGUUUUGUCUUGCACUUUUUUUUUCAUAUCUAGUGCUCUAGUUAGUUUGGUUUUUAUUUAUUCGCAUUUCUUAUAUUAUUAUUA
This is a long non-coding RNA of Pyrus x bretschneideri (Chinese white pear), 1891 nucleotides long. RefSeq lists it as uncharacterized. The transcript is spliced from 3 exons. Lineage: Eukaryota; Viridiplantae; Streptophyta; Magnoliopsida; Rosales; Rosaceae. The record is from RefSeq and is a predicted model, not a curated record.